GAUCCUGCCCGGGCAGCGACGGCGUCUCGAUCAAGCCCCUUCAGUUGUUGGCUCAAGCGCUCCGCGCCUUGGCCGAUGUCGGUUUCCUGUGCUGAAUUCCUCACGGGUGGAAAUCUCUCGUCCACCAACGUCUCGUUCUCCUCCCCUCAUAGAGCCUCAUCAAGGAGACGCGGCGCGGGGAGGACAUCGAGGCGCACGUCGUAUCUCGGAACCCACGCGCCCGCUCGCCCGGGCGCGCCAGGGCUUUCGACACACGACGUCGUGCCCGAUCUCUCGGAUGCAGAAAACCAAGCGGCCAGAGGCCGCUGCCUCUUCUGCCCCUUAUAAGAGCG
This 332-nucleotide unclassified non-coding RNA is filed under the name Stachys spinosa. RNAcentral describes it as "partial contains external transcribed spacer and small subunit ribosomal RNA". Lineage: Eukaryota; Viridiplantae; Streptophyta; Magnoliopsida; Lamiales; Lamiaceae. The record is from RNAcentral.